UCAAACUCUAACAAGCUAACAAAAUUAAAAAGAUUGCAACUUUAAGGAAUUCAAGAAAAAAAAUCAACACCCCAUCAAACCCCUCAAACUCUAACAAGCUAAAAAAGUUAAAAAGAUUGCAACUUCAAGGAAUUCAAGAAAAAAAAUCAACACCCCAUCAAACCCCUCAUACUCUAACAACCUAAAAAAAGUUUAAAAAAAGACUUCAACUUUAAGAAAUUCAAGAAAAAAAAUCAACAGCCCAAUAGUUGCAUGGUCUCUUUUUUGAGUGAACAAAGUAAGGAAAAAGGGCAAAUGCAACACCAACAAAAGAAUGAAAAGGUUCAAGAAAAGUAUCAGAUUUUUUGCUUAGACUUGUCUGUCACUCAAUUUUCUCUUUCCUUUACUUGAAAUCCCUAUUUCUCUCUGCUUUAAAUGGAAUUAAAUCCUAGUAAAUAACGCCCUUAAAGAACCAAAAAAAAAGAGGCCUUGAAAAAAGGAGAAAAUAUGGAAUGAAAGAUUAUUGAAACAAAG
Molecule: long non-coding RNA, 513 nt
Filed under: Solanum tuberosum (potato)
Lineage: Eukaryota; Viridiplantae; Streptophyta; Magnoliopsida; Solanales; Solanaceae
Description: long non-coding RNA (STUB_LNC008589)
Source: RNAcentral